This 879-nucleotide long non-coding RNA is filed under the name Equus caballus (horse). RNAcentral describes it as "lncRNA (ENSECAG00000046130.1)". Lineage: Eukaryota; Metazoa; Chordata; Mammalia; Perissodactyla; Equidae. The record is from RNAcentral.
AGCAGGAGACAUUGUUGGGUCCACUCCUCGUGGUGGUCUGGAGGGGUGGAUGCUGUGGAGCUGGAACUCCCUCUCCCAUAGGGAGCUGUGCUCACGGAGUUUUUACAACCCCUCUUCAGGGAAACCCUGUGUGGAGUCCUUACAGGGGAGCCAGCACUUGACUUCCUGCCACAUGGGGGCCAAUUUGUGUUUGUCAAGAAAGCAGCUACAACCAACAGCAAGAGGGCUCUGAGAAUGGCAGUUGAGUAGAGAGCCACUCCACUGUGACCUCACCGUCCUUCUCAUCCUGCAGAGUUAAGGGGACAGAGGCACCCAGAGCUAGACCAUGCCCACUCCUUUCCCUGCUCUAAGAGUAAGAAUCCCUGUACUUAGUGGAAGGAUGGAGGGUGAGAAAAGUUUAAAAUUGGAUUGAAUAAGUUUUAAUACUUUGAAGAAGUGUCUUCAAAGCAGUGGCAAGAGGAAUCUGGAGGGAUAAGCCCCGAGGUCCCAGGAAUCCUGAGAAAUGUCUACAGAGAGAAAAAGUCUUUGUGGAACUUGGAACUUUUCUCUUCAUUAACAUGACAAACAGGCUACCUCUAUCAAGGGCAGCCGAGUGAGACCAGCCUGGAAUUUAGAAUCUCCUUAUAAAUAAAGUCUCAGCUUUAAGCAUUAAUGAAAGACAUGGGAUCUUUAUGGCGCCAUUCAUUUCUGAUCUUGCCAAUUCAGUAGCUAGAGUGUCUUCUAUCUUCGCCCCUGCCACUAAUUAUGGAACUCUGCCCUGAUGUGCGGUAGCUCAGGUUCUUAGCAGGAUCAUUAUUCAUCUAAAAAUAUUAUAUAAUAUCUAAGACUGGAUAAAAGGACUUCAAAUUGCUAAUAUUUGUAUUUCUAGCUAGAAUUUUC